This 995-nucleotide ribosomal RNA is filed under the name uncultured bacterium. RNAcentral describes it as "bacterial SSU rRNA". It matches the Rfam family "Bacterial small subunit ribosomal RNA", at positions 355 to 1375 of the family's 1533-position model. The record is from RNAcentral.
UGGGGAAUAUUGCACAAUGGGGGAAACCCUGAUGCAGCGACGCCGCGUGGAGGAAGAAGGUCUUCGGAUUGUAAACUCCUGUUGUUGGGGAAGAUAAUGACGGUACCCAACAAGGAAGUGACGGCUAACUACGUGCCAGCAGCCGCGGUAAAACGUAGGUCACAAGCGUUGUCCGGAAUUACUGGGUGUAAAGGGAGCGCAGGCGGGAAGACAAGUUGGAAGUGAAAUCCAUGGGCUCAACCCAUGAACUGCUUUCAAAACUGUUUUUCUUGAGUAGUGCAGAGGUAGGCGGAAUUCCCGGUGUAGCGGUGGAAUGCGUAGAUAUCGGGAGGAACACCAGUGGCGAAGGCGGCCUACUGGGCACCAACUGACGCUGAGGCUCGAAAGUGUGGGUAGCAAACAGGAUUAGAUACCCUGGUAGUCCACACUGUAAACGAUGAUUACUAGGUGUUGGAGGAUUGACCCCUUCAGUGCCGCAGUUAACACAAUAAGUAAUCCACCUGGGGAGUACGACCGCAAGGUUGAAACUCAAAGGAAUUGACGGGGGCCCGCACAAGCAGUGGAGUAUGUGGUUUAAUUCGACGCAACGCGAAGAACCUUACCAAGUCUUGACAUCCCUCGACGACUAUAGAAAUAUAGUUUUCCUUCGGGACGGUGAGACAGGUGGUGCAUGGUUGUCGUCAGCUCGUGUCGUGAGAUGUUGGGUUAAGUCCCGCAACGAGCGCAACCCUUAUGGUCAGUUACUACGCAAGAGGACUCUGGCCAGACUGCCGUUGACAAAACGGAGGAAGGUGGGGAUGACGUCAAAUCAUCAUGCCCUUUAUGACUUGGGCUACACACGUACUACAAUGGCGUUAAACAAAGAGAAGCAAGACCGCGAGGUGGAGCAAAACUCAGAAACAACGUCCCAGUUCGGACUGCAGGCUGCAACUCGCCUGCACGAAGUCGGAAUUGCUAGUAAUCGCAGAUCAGCAUGCUGCGGUGAAUACGUUCCC